Molecule: ribosomal RNA, 490 nt
Filed under: uncultured bacterium
Lineage: Bacteria
Description: partial 16S ribosomal RNA
Rfam family: Bacterial small subunit ribosomal RNA
Source: RNAcentral
AGUGAACGCUGGCGGUAGGCCUAACACAUGCAAGUCGAACGGCAGCACAGGAGAGCUUGCUCUCUGGGUGGCGAGUGGCGGACGGGUGAGGAAUACAUCGGAAUCUGCCCAGUCGUGGGGGAUAACGUAGGGAAACUUACGCUAAUACCGCAUACGACCUUCGGGUGAAAGAGGGGGAUCGCAAGACCUCUCGCGAUUGGAUGAGCCGAUGUCGGAUUAGCUAGUUGGCGGGGUAAUGGCCCACCAAGGUGACGAUCCGUAGCUGGUCUGAGAGGAUGAUCAGCCACACUGGAACUGAGACACGGUCCAGACUCCUACGGGAGGCAGCAGUGGGGAAUAUUGGACAAUGGGCGCAAGCCUGAUCCAGCCAUACCGCGUGGGUGAAGAAGGCCUUCGGGUUGUAAAGCCCUUUUGUUGGGAAAGAAAUCUUUCAGGCUAAUACCCUGGGAGGAUGACGGUACCCAAAGAAUAAGCACCGGCUAACUUCGUG